RNAcentral lists this small nucleolar RNA (106 nucleotides) under Trifolium pratense (red clover). RNAcentral describes it as "snoRNA Plant_U3". Lineage: Eukaryota; Viridiplantae; Streptophyta; Magnoliopsida; Fabales; Fabaceae. The record is from RNAcentral.
ACGACCUUACUUGAACAGGAUCUGUUCGAUAAGAUUGUACUACUGUGUCAUUGAUUGACGGGAACAUAAAUCAGAGCGUGAUUAAUGGCUUGGACAAUUUCUGAUC